GAUGAACGCUGGCGGCGUGCCUAAUACAUGCAAGUCGAGCGAACGGACGAGAAGCUUGCUUCUAUGAUGUUAGCGGCGGACGGGUGAGUAACACGUGGAUAACCUACCUAUAAGACUGGGAUAACUUCGGGAAACCGGAGCUAAUACCGGAUAAUAUUUUGAACCGCAUGGUUCAAAAGUGAAAGACGGUCUUGCUGUCACUUAUAGAUGGAUCCGCGCUGCAUUAGCUAGUUGGUAAGGUAACGGCUUACCAAGGCAACGAUGCAUAGCCGACCUGAGAGGGUGAUCGGCCACACUGGAACUGAGACACGGUCCAGACUCCUACGGGAGGCAGCAGUAGGGAAUCUUCCGCAAUGGGCGAAAGCCUGACGGAGCAACGCCGCGUGAGUGAUGAAGGUCUUCGGAUCGUAAAACUCUGUUAUUAGGGAAGAACAUAUGUGUAAGUAACUGUGCACAUCUUGACGGUACCUAAUCAGAAAGCCACGGCUAACUACGUG
RNAcentral lists this ribosomal RNA (497 nucleotides) under uncultured bacterium. RNAcentral's name for it is "partial 16S ribosomal RNA". It matches the Rfam family "Bacterial small subunit ribosomal RNA", at positions 28 to 507 of the family's 1533-position model. The record is from RNAcentral.